AGUCGAGCGGUAGAGAGAAGCUUGCUUCUCUUGAGAGCGGCGGACGGGUGAGUAAUGCCUAGGAAUCUGCUUGGUAGUGGGGGAUAACGUUCGGAAACGGACGCUAAUACCGCAUACGUCCUACGGGAGAAAGCAGGGGACCUUCGGGCCUUGCGCUAUCAGAUGAGCCUAGGUCGGAUUAGCUAGUUGGUGGGGUAAUGGCUCACCAAGGCGACGAUCCGUAACUGGUCUGAGAGGAUGAUCAGUCACACUGGAACUGAGACACGGUCCAGACUCCUACGGGAGGCAGCAGUGGGGAAUAUUGGACAAUGGGCGAAAGCCUGAUCCAGCCAUGCCGCGUGUGUGAAGAAGGUCUUCGGAUUGUAAAGCACUUUAAGUUGGGAGGAAGGGCAGUAAAUUAAUACUUUGCUGUUUUGACGUUACCGACAGAAUAAGCACCGGCUAACUCUGUGCCAGCAGCCGCGGUAAUACAGAGGGUGCAAGCGUUAAUCGGAAUUACUGGGCGUAAAGCGCGCGUAGGUGGUUCGUUAAGUUGGAUGUGAAAUCCCCGGGCUCAACCUGGGAACUGCAUUCAAAACUGACGAGCUAGAGUAUGGUAGAGGGUGGUGGAAUUUCCUGUGUAGCGGUGAAAUGCGUAGAUAUAGGAAGGAACACCAGUGGCGAAGGCGACCACCUGGACUGAUACUGACACUGAGGUGCGAAAGCGUGGGGAGCAAACAGGAUUAGAUACCCUGGUAGUCCACGCCGUAAACGAUGUCAACUAGCCGUUGGGAGCCUUGAGCUCUUAGUGGCGCAGCUAACGCAUUAAGUUGACCGCCUGGGGAGUACGGCCGCAAGGUUAAAACUCAAAUGAAUUUGACGGGGGCCCGCACAAGCGGUGGAGCAUGUGGGUUUAAUUCGAAGCAACGCGAAGAACCUUACCAGGCCUUGACAUCCAAUGAACUUUCUAGAGAUAGAUUGGUGCCUUCGGGAACAUUGAGACAGGUGCUGCAU
This 993-nucleotide ribosomal RNA is filed under the name uncultured bacterium. Its description in RNAcentral is "bacterial SSU rRNA". It matches the Rfam family "Bacterial small subunit ribosomal RNA", at positions 60 to 1046 of the family's 1533-position model. The record is from RNAcentral.